Molecule: long non-coding RNA, 332 nt
Filed under: Monodelphis domestica (gray short-tailed opossum)
Lineage: Eukaryota; Metazoa; Chordata; Mammalia; Didelphimorphia; Didelphidae
Description: lncRNA (ENSMODG00000038967.1)
Source: RNAcentral
CAGCCUAAGUUACUACAAACUUAAACCCGUAUACUCCUGUAACCUUCUGGAGGAGGCAACAGAGAACAGAGGGCUUCUUUUCAACAUCUCACACCAAAAGACUUUUGUUGGAAUAACCCAAGGAUCUGUUUUUUAGGGUAAUUUAAUAUGGCGUCUUCCCUUAAAGAGCUUGCAACAAUGCUAGAAAUUUUAAAAUGACCCAUGAGAAACAACAAGAAAACAACUGAUAGGCUAAAAGGAGCGCCAGAUUGGAGUUAGAAGAUAUAGAUGACAAUCCUGACUACUACUGUGGCAGUUUGACCAGGGAAAGACCUUAUCAAUUCUCAAAAACA